GGGAGAAGGUAAUUGUCGCUCAUAGACGCAACAAAGGACUGAUAUCCAAAAGUUAUAAAGAACUCGGCAUCUCAAUAAGAAAGGAAAUGCAGUGGAAAAAUGGGCAAAUUACUUGACCAGUCCCCCCUCACGAACGCCGGAGCCCACCCGCCCGGAGGCCUCGCUGGAGAAGCCUCAUCCGGGAAUCUGGCGCGCGCGCACGCACACAAAACGAGCGGCGCGCGCCGCCGGAGGUGAGUUCCCUUCUGGCGGUUUCUCUAGCUAACGGUGAGUCCCAGAUAGAGGAGCGGCAGGUCACCGCGGCCCAGCUCCGAGUUGGGGGGGCGGCUGGGGGGUCCAGAGUGGGACCCCCCACCCCCCCGCCGUUUGCUGGCCCCGUGCGGUGCAGACCCUCGUUGUCUUCGCUCGGCCGGUGGGCACGGACCCCUCCCUCCUCUUCUCCCACGCGGACUUUCCUUCUCCCCUUGGGCGCGGACUCCACAUCCUGGGGCGCCGGGUGCCUUUUCUCGCCACUCAGGAGGCUAAAAUAGAAGGUACACCAGUGGCCUUCCCAACAACUAUAUCACCCAUGGUUCAUAGAUGGCAUUGCUUCCCAAACUCUAGUAUACAUGAUUGCCUGGUGGCCUCCCAAGGUGGGUAGAGUUGAAGAAGCUACCUGGGCAGGAGGACAAGAGGGCUAGAAUCUCAAGAAUCUCAAGAAUGUGGAUGAUGGCAGCUGGAGUGUGUAUGAAUGCCUGACACAAGUGGAGGCAAAGCUCUAGGCACUGAGAAGAUGAGGUCUUGAUGGGUUGACCAUUGGGUAGGUGUGCCCCCAGAGUAACGGCAUAUAUUGGGAUGAGAUGGAAGAUGUUACCCAGUGCUCAUUCCAUUGUGGUAUAUUUCCAUCCCACAGAGGUUGCAAAAAACCUAGUCCUGUUUGGACAAUUCUGUGUUCAUAAAUUUAAUAAGUUAGGUAAAGGGGCACAAUUUCUUAAAAGACAAACUAUCAAAAUUUACUGUACAAGUAAACUAGUAAACUGAAUAGGCUUGUAUCUGUUGAAGAAGUUGAUGUUUUUUUGUUUUUUUGUUUUUUUCAAAAGAACUGCCAGACCCAGAUAGUUUUGUUGAUGAAUUCCACCCAACAGUUAAGGAAGAAAUGAUGCCAGUUCCACACUUUCAGAAAAUAAAAGGAAUACACACUUGAUUCA
RNAcentral lists this long non-coding RNA (1187 nucleotides) under Felis catus (domestic cat). RNAcentral describes it as "lncRNA (ENSFCAG00000040379.2)". Lineage: Eukaryota; Metazoa; Chordata; Mammalia; Carnivora; Felidae. The record is from RNAcentral.